AAAGGAAUAGACGGGGGCCCGCACAAGCGGUGGAGCAUGUGGUUUAAUUCGACGCAACGCGAAGAACCUUACCCAGACUUGACAUCGAUGGAAUCCUGUAGAGAUACGGGAGUGCCCUUCGGGGCCCAGAAGACAGGUGCUGCAUGGCUGUCGUCAGCUCGUGUCGUGAGAUGUUGGGUUAAGUCCCGCAACGAGCGCAACCCUCGUCGUUAGUUGCCAUCGGUUAAAGCCGGGCACUCUAGCGAGACUGCCGGUGUCAAACCGGAGGAAGGUGGGGAUGACGUCAAGUCCUCAUGGCCUUUAUGUCUGGGGCUACACACGUGCUACAAUGGCAUCUACAAAGUGACGCGAACCCGCGAGGGGGAGCAAAUCGCAGAAAAGAUGUCUCAGUUCGGAUCGGAGUCUGCAACUCGACUUCGUGAAGUCGGAAUCGCUAGUAAUCGCGGAUCAGCACGCCGCGGUGAAUACGUUCCCGGGCCUUGUACACACCGCCCGU
Molecule: ribosomal RNA, 496 nt
Filed under: uncultured bacterium
Lineage: Bacteria
Description: bacterial SSU rRNA
Rfam family: Bacterial small subunit ribosomal RNA
Source: RNAcentral